This is an RNA transcript of Populus trichocarpa (black cottonwood), 1059 nucleotides long. It is a transcript of the gene named U1 small nuclear ribonucleoprotein C, with no coding region annotated. NCBI's taxonomy places the organism in Eukaryota, Viridiplantae, Streptophyta, Magnoliopsida, Malpighiales, Salicaceae. The record is from RefSeq and is a predicted model, not a curated record. The transcript is spliced from 7 exons.
AUGUUUUACGGUGGUCACAAUAACAAAUACCGUCUCCCAGUCAUCUCUCUCUCUCUCGAGCUAGAGAUUUAGGAGGGAUUUCUCUUGUUUUCUAGGGUUUUUGGAUCUGCACACUCCUUUCAACAAUCCGAGCUGAACACAGACAGACAAACAUCCAGCCAUGCCCCGGUAUUACUGUGAUUAUUGUGACACUUACUUGACUCAUGAUUCUCCAUCUGUUAGAAAACAGCACAAUGCCGGUUAUAAACACAAGGCAAAUGUGAGGAUCUAUUAUCAGCAGUUUGAGGAGCAGCAAACCCAAAGUAUAAUUGACCAAAGAAUAAAGGAACAUCUUGGCCAAACUGCAGCUUUUCAACAGGUUGGUGCCGCAUACAAUCAGCAUCUAAUGGUCCAGAGACCCCGGCUUCCUGUUCUUCCAACUCCUGUGAUGCCAAUUGGAGGAAAUAACGCCCCAUUAUUCCCUGGGAUGAGGCCUCCUGUUUUGCCUAGACCAAUGCCUGGUGCUCCAGGUUAUAUGAACCCUCCUAUGAUGCCCCCAAUGAUGGCACCCCCUGGUGCUCCUUCCUUACCUGGUCAAAUGAAUGGCAUUCCAAGGCCUCCUACAAUGAUUGCACAACCAAAUGUUCCUGGGAGUACUGCAGCACCUACUCCUAGCGGUCCCCCGUCUAUGGGUCCACCUGUUACUUACCAAGCAAAUCAAGCAGCAACAACCAGUGGAGGCUUUGACAGCUUCAAUGUGAAUGCCGCAGCCCCUGAAGCCAAUCAUUAGUCUGAAUCAAGCUGGCCAUGAGAAGAAAUCAGCAAGGCCACUCUACAUUGCAAUGCCUUUCUUGAAUUGUGUGCAGAUCUCAUUGUGAGGACAUUGCCUCUUCAGACAAUUGUAGCCUAGGGACCAUAAGCUAGAUAGGCUCCGCCAGCCAGUAUAGAAAACAGUGUUUCCUAAUACUUGAUGUUGCCCCUUUUCUAUAUUUUCUUAUAAUGCUGCUGAUAUUACUCUUUUGAUGUGCCCCCUUUUAUGGUUUCCGUAAUGGAAUAACAAAAAAGAAUAGUUGGUUGGUU